GGAGGUUCUGAUCAGCAAAUAAGGAAGGAACAACAUCUGACAUCUUUACCCACUUUAACUGAAAGUUCCCACAAUAAUCUCAUCAUGAGGCUCACUCGUUCUCACCUCCAGAGUUCUGGGGGGUAAAAUAAUACAUAAAUGCAAGGAUUAUCUUAUAUAUACACCAAGGGAAAGGAAAUACUGCCUAUUAAGAAUUAGCAGCUAACAGCUGGGCGCGGUGGCUCACACCUGUAAUCCCAGCACUUUGGGAGGCCAAGGCAGGCGGAUCACAAGAUCAGGAGUUCGAGACCAUGCUGGCUAACAAGCAUCAAGCAAAGAACUUGUAAUACGCUGAAUGCUGCAUAGAAGGUUUUGAAACUACUUACCUGCUGUGGAACACCUGUAUAACUUUAAAAUGCAUCAAUCAAUCUCGAGAGUAUGAUCAUGCUUCCUGCUUUUAAGGAUCUGAAGUUAACUGCAACUCCAAGUAUACAAGACUUCUUUGGGACCCAUGGAAGCAUCUCUACAUGCUCAUGUUUGCCAGAUUCAGUGGCCUCCUGAAACCUGGCCCUAGCUAAUAAGUUAAAAAGCUCUAAGUAAUCCCGAGCUGCAUUUGAAUCUCCAAGAUCACUUGUUCAUGGGUUGGUAAUACUUUAAAGAGCCAUUUGUUUAACUGCUAAUCUGGAUCUUAUAUUCUGAGCCCCAGCUUUUUUCUAAAGCAAAGAAAAUACAAAAUAAAAGUAAGACCAAAUGCCUUUGUACCAUGGAGAGAGAAAUGACUCAUUGGAAUGCUUCUGUUUUUCAUCACAUCAAAGAUGCAUCAACAUAAAUCAACCAUUAUAUCAUGCACCAUGAUAAAAAAGGGGGAUAAAAGUCCCCAAACCACUGCCAAUUAAACCAACACAGUGCCUUUGUAUUAUUCAGAAUUUUUAUCUUAGCCUUAUUGAAAGAGCUUUUUUAGAACAUAUUUAAACAAUUCUGUCAUAUUUCAUUCUUGCAUACUCAUUAAAAAGGAAAAUAUGAGAGAUACAAA
Molecule: long non-coding RNA, 1012 nt
Filed under: Homo sapiens (human)
Lineage: Eukaryota; Metazoa; Chordata; Mammalia; Primates; Hominidae
Description: uncharacterized LOC100506929, transcript variant 6 (LOC100506929)
Source: RNAcentral